This 5101-nucleotide long non-coding RNA is filed under the name Sus scrofa (pig). Its description in RNAcentral is "lncRNA (ENSSSCG00050050740.1)". Lineage: Eukaryota; Metazoa; Chordata; Mammalia; Artiodactyla; Suidae. The record is from RNAcentral.
AUUAGCAAAUUCAUGAAUAUCCUGUUUACAUUUCAAAUAAGCUCAUAGCUUGGUUUCUGUAUCUAAAGGAUUGUGCUAAUUAUUUAUAGACCACUAAUGACUAUUAAUAAGUGGAACCGUGGUGGUUGAAUUUCACCAAUGUUACAAUUGGAGAACAAACUCAGUCCACCCUGUUGUAUGGAAAUUACUCUGAUUAGAGCGUAAUGACUAACUAAAGAGUUGUUUGUCUAUUCAAUUGCAGGGCAGAGAAGGGUAAUGAGUUUACUUGCUCAGGCUCUAUUCUUCUAGGAGUUAGUAGGAGGGAACUUUUGGUCUUUAGCCACAAUGGACUAGUUGUUAAGAAGUUUCAGUUGACCUCCCAAGAAUCCACUUCUCCCGACCUUCUCCCUCUAGGAACAGGAAGUUGAUCAUCCUUGUGUUUCCCUCACAUCUAUCACAGAUCCUUGAACUUAAUGGGUGUUUAAGAAAUGUUGGAAAGAACUCCAGAAUCUUAUAUCUCACCUCCAUUUAUUUGGAUCAAGCAUUUACUAUGUCCCUACUGAGUAUGAUGGGCUAGGGACACAGAGAGAAAUAGGAUAUGUCCCUUCCCUUAAAAAGCUCACAUUCUUUUAUGGAAACAGGCAGAUGAACACACGGUGGCAUAUAACUCAGUGAGAUAAAUGGUAGGACAGCCCAGGCUCUUAUAAUGUUGGGCAUUAUGCACUGUAUCUUUUAUGUAACUUUAUGUAACUUUUAUGUAACUUUAUGUAACUCAACUGCUCUGUACUGCAGUUUGUUUCCUCAUUAGUUUCCUCCACUAUACUGUGAGCAGCUUGAGGGCAGAGAACAUGCCCUGUAUAAUAGGCAUUCCAUAGAAGUUGAAUGAAUGAAUGAAUAGAUGGUUGGGAGUGUCACAGAUCUUUGACACUGCAAGCUCACAAUGCCUGCAGAGAAUGGAAAGAGCAGAACAGCCCUCCAGGAAGUCUGCCAGGGAUUGUGUAGUGGGGGUAAUCUAUCAAGGAAGCAUGCCAGGUGUUACAGGGACGUUUCAGGGACCACUGCUCAGUCAGAGGAGUGAAUAUGACCUCUAGCUUGCUGUAAGGGAUGUGCCUCCAGACUGGGAGUCCUGGCCUAAAAUGUCUCACUGUAAAUUAAUAUAUCAGCAUCCUAGCAACUCUGUGAUGGUUGUGUCAUGAAUUGGCUUCCCUGAAGCCCCUCCUCUCUGACUCUGGUCAGAUCAAGGAUCCAGGUCAGCAGAGCUUAAGGAUUAGGUUUGGGGCCAAAAGGAUCAUGUGAGCUGGAGUUGCCUACAUUCAUCUUCCAUUGUUGCCUGAAGAAGAAAACCAUUUUCAAUAGGAAGGAAUGAGGCCAACAAACAAAGAAAAGCAGAGUCAAGAGUUGGCUCCCUGAUAACGUUGUUCCUGCAUCUGGGUGCCUGAAAAUAGCUAUCCUCUGGAUUUUUCAGUUAUGGCAACCGAUAAAUUCCUCCUCCUCCUUUUUCUAGUUUGAUUUUCUGUCUUCUUCAACUUCUUAGAAAACACCAGUAUAGGUAAAGACCUGUGCUUUGGAGUGAGACAAAUCUGGUUUCAAACUCUAACCACUGCAUUGUCGGGUGUCUAUUACAGCAGCUCAGGCUCUUACCUUAGCUGAAUAUCCCAAGUGAAAAAUGAUUCAGGCCUGAAGUGAGGUAGUGGCAGAGGACAGAAAGAAGGAGCUAGAUUUGAAUGCUUUUAGGGUGUUAGAAUUAACAGAACAUGGGGUAGUUUAUUAUAUAUGUGAGAGCAAAGGGGUGGGAUAGAGGGACUUGUGGUGAAAUCUUGGUUUCUGGCUUGAGUGACCAGUGGACAGUGGUACCCUGGGCCAGCUCCACGGGCAUGUUUCUUUCUUUUUUUUUUUUAAUUGAAGUAUAGUUGAUUUACAGUGUUAAUUUCUGCUGUACAGUAGAGUGAUUCAGUAAUACAUAUAUGUACAAUCUUUUUGUGUUCUUUUCCAUUAUAAUCACAGAAUAUUGAAUAUAGUUCCCUGUGCUAUAUGCUAAGACUUUGCUGUUUAUCCAUUCCAUUUGUAAUAGUUUGCCUCUGCUAAUCCCAAACUCCCAAUCUUCCCUUCCCCAACCCCUCAUGUCCAUGAGUCUGUUUCUGUUUUGUAGAUAAGUUCAUUAGUGUCAUAUUUUAGAUUCCAAAUAGAAGUGAUAUCAUAGGGUAUUUGUCUGACUUACCUCACUUAAUAUGAUAAUAUCUAGGUCCAUCCAAAUAUUGCUACAGAUGGCAAUACUUUGUUCUUUUUUUAUGUUUUUUUUUUUUUUUUUAAAGUUGAGUGAGUGAAUGAAUGAAUGGGAAUAUCACAGAGUAAUUGUAUAUAUGUACCACAUCUUCUUUAUUCAAUCAUCUGUUGAUAGACAUUUAGGUUCCUUCCAUGGCUUGGUUAUUGUAAAUAAUGCUGCUAUGGACAUAGGGGUGUCUGUGUCUUUUUGAAUUAUAUUUUUGUCAUGAGCAUAUUUUGUAUACUCCUGAUAGACCUCGUCCUGGCCAGCUUCCAGAUGUUCCUUCCAUUCUUUAAAGGCAGAAUGAUCUUGAAGAGUCAAGAGUUCUGAAAGACUCAUGCACUCUUGCUCUUUUCUUCAUUCAUUCAGCCCUUAUUGAGUGCCUACUGGGUACUAGCUUGAGCUUCCACGAAGACACAGAACUGAUUAAGGCACACUCUGCCUUCAAGUUACUCACAGUGUAUGGGAGUGGUCAGACUUCUAGAGCUUGAGGGGCAAGAAUUGUGAAUUUCUUGUGGGCCAAGAUGAUGUGGAGCCAUGGAGCUGUUGUAAUGGAAACAUAGGGCUCACAAUCCCCUUGGCUUCUGGGAGUUUUCCUCUCAUUUCUGAAGACUCCACAGACAUGUAACCAGACAUGUUUAUGGGAGGCAGAGCAAGGGAUUGAAGGCAAAAACAAAGCAACUUUCAUAAACUUUUGGAGGUUUAUAGAAUGAAAGUUAAUAUUCUCAAUAUCUUGCUCAUACAGAUGUUGUGAAAAGAACAGAAAUGACUGCUCUUAAUCUGUUGCUGUAUUCCUUGGCAGGUAGUAUUUUGUUUGUUUGUUUUUGUUCCAGCAAUUUGACAGUUUGACUGUGGAUACUAUAUCUCUCUGGCAACAGGGCUAGAAGCAGUCCUCUGCAGCUCAUUGGGGGAGUGGCCAAUAUUUUAUCUUGAGAAUUAUUAAAAAAAGCCUUUUGAUUGAUUUAAUUGAAUGCAAGCCAUAAUAUUUUGAGGCAUAGUGAGAAGGUUCCCGGCUUUGAAAUCACAUGUCAGGUUCAAAUCCAAGUUCCACCAGUUGCAAGCUGAGGGAGCCUGGGGCAAGUCUCAGAGCAAGUUUCCUCACCUGUGAAAAAUACACACCUUGCAGGGUGUGUGAGGAUUGAAAGAGAGGAUGUGGAAUGGCUGACAAAGCUGGGGAGGAUUUUAAGAGAUCUUACAGAUCUUAAAGGGCCCUUAGCAAGAGAAGGGCUUGCUAAGAGGCAGCCAAAUUGAUGUAGUUACUCUCUCCUCCAGUAGCCUAAAUAAUAGACCCUUAGAGGGAGCAUUGAGGGAGAAUCUUGGAAGGGAAUUUGUAGGCACAGAGCACGCAGAGGGGAGAGUCAGGAAUGUUUUUCUCCUACCUCAGCCAAGUGAGGAGCAACCCAAAAGGAUGACUUAGCAAGAUUGGGGUUGCUGAGAGGAGGAGAGACCCUCAUUUCAGUCCUUGCAUUACUGGCAGAGUGUGGCUAGAGAGAACCCUUGGGAGACCCUCAUAGUUCCCCCGAAGUCCCAGGGGCCUGAAAACUGCUGCCUGGAGAAAGGGCAGUGGAGGGAGGGAUUUUCAUUUUACUCGAUAGCCAAGGGUCCAUGAGCUUCUUUAUGGCCUAUUAGGAUGCCUGGGGGUGGGUGUGAAUCACAGCUGUCUUGAAAGGACCAUGGCAAGAGGGCUGUUUUCUGAAAAUAGGCUUCAUUGAGCACACGGCUUUAUCCCUAAAGCAAGUGCUUAGGAUAUUUGCAAGAGGAAACUGCUAAAGAGAACAUCAGCUGUAUCAGGAAAUGAGAUGGUGCAUAAGUCCUCACUCCUGUGUCGGGCACUUUGUGAAAGAGGGGCAGGCUUUGGGCUCCUACACUGAGAAGGACAUUGACAACAAAAGGAGGCUUGCCAACGAUCCCACCUCAGGUAGAAGGGCAUUUGCCUGUGUUUCCUCUAACUCCUCCUUCCUGAUGUGACCCCAGGAUGGUUAGAAGGUGGAAGCGGUUGAAUCAAAGACAAAUGUAAAAAAGUAUCAGAGCUCGGACCUGAAUGUGGAGGUGGGGGCAAGGAGAUCGAAGAAAAGGUAUCCAUGAAAUAACACAAAUUACACUAAAGGUUUUAGUUAAAGGGGACUUUUUCUUUUUACUUUUAAUUGUGGAAAAUUUCAAAUGUAUUCAAACAUUGAACAGAGGGUAAGAAGCUCUCAGGUAUCUGUCUCCUAGCUUCAGUAAUUAUCACUUUGUGGUCAGUCUUAUUUCAUUGAUAAUCCUAAGCACUCCCGUCUCCUGUAUUAUUUUGAAGCAAACCCUAGACAUGAUACCAUUUCACCUUACCAAGUUUUCAAGUACAAGAUGUAAGAACUCUUUAAGCAUUACUACAAUAUUAUUAUUAUGCCCAGAUAUUUGACAAUAAUUCCUUAAUGUCGUCAAAUAUCCAGUCAGUGUUUAAAUUUUCCCAUCUGUCUCAUAAAUUUUUUUUUUUUUUUCACUAGAGGAGGUGAGCUUGAGUCUUCUUCUCUGCCCUCUUGGCUCUGAAUCAGUCCUUACUGUUUUGUUUUACAAAAAGGAAAUUGCUGGCAAUAAGAAAUGGAGUAAAAGAAUGCGGACGGUUAUGUCAAAAACUGGACAUUCCUCUUUCUCAUCGUGCUCUCUUGGCCAAUCUCUCAGCUUCAGCCUUUGCCUUGGAGAUACUCCAAAAACAAAAAAGGGUGUAAACUCCAGAAUAAAGUUGCCUGAAGUUGGGAGGUCCUGUUAUGGCUCAGUGGUAAUGAACCUGACUAGUAUCCGUGAGGAUGCAGGUUUGAUCCCUGGCCUUGCUCAGUGGGUUAAGGUACCAGUGUUGCCGUGAGCUGUGGUGUGGGUCUCAGA